Long non-coding RNA from Megalobrama amblycephala (Wuchang bream), 901 nucleotides. RefSeq lists it as uncharacterized. The record is from RefSeq and is a predicted model, not a curated record. The transcript has 2 exons. NCBI's taxonomy places the organism in Eukaryota, Metazoa, Chordata, Actinopteri, Cypriniformes, Xenocyprididae.
AUGAAAAGUGGACACAGGGGAGUCAGUCGGCAAAUAUUUACCCCAACUUGAUAGCACUUUCUACUGUGGUUGAAAAGAAAUAUGCUAAAGUUAGAGUAGAUAUCAACUGGUUUUCAGUCAAGAGGGCAAGGAAAUGAAACAUGGCUGCAGAGGAUGCAACACAGAGUCCAAAUGUUACUCCAAGUUAGCAAUUAUAUCGUUGGAAAUGACUGAAAAAUGAAAUUUCAUAGAAAAGAGGUUGAGUUUUGCCUGUAGCUCACUUCCUCAUUAAAACUACCCCAAAGAGAAGCACUUAUGAACACAGGACCAAUCAAUGCUCCCAUUUGAAGUAAUCUUAAUGUGUUGAACUCUGUGUUUAAUUGACCAUUGCAUGGAGAACAUAGUGUUGAGUUCCAGAAGUCUCCUGAAGCACUGAUCACUUGAAACUACCCCAACAAAUAGCACUUACCAAAUACAACAGACGAGUCAGUGCCAUUGUGAGGGUACCGAUAGUGACAAUAGAAGCAGCUGAAAAUCUUGUCCAGUGUAUAGCCAGAAACUUGGUAGGAUGUGGGACGAGAUCAUUUGCAGUCAGAGAUGUUGCCUGUAUUUAGGAAGAGCUGGUCUGAGCCAUGUGGUUUACCAGCACCCAAUAUAAGGGUGUCCAUACCCCCUUGGCUAUGGCCAUGGUCGUUGACACUCUGCUUUUUUUUUUUUUUUUUUUUUUUGUGAAGCCAAUCAAGUUUUGAUUGCUAUGUUAACAUCUUUGGAACGACUCAGCAUUUUUCAGCAUGGGUGGACUUUUUACACAUUUAAAGCACUUCAUGCAAAUGCAACAAUUACAAACUUAAAAUGACUCUGGACAAACUUAAAUUUAGACCAGAGUCAUUUUAAAAGGAAAGACCUACACUAAAUACAAAAA